This 478-nucleotide ribosomal RNA is filed under the name uncultured bacterium. RNAcentral describes it as "bacterial SSU rRNA". It matches the Rfam family "Bacterial small subunit ribosomal RNA", at positions 40 to 507 of the family's 1533-position model. The record is from RNAcentral.
CGACAGGCCUAACACAUGCAAGUCGAGGGGCAGCACAAUGCGUAGCAAUACAAAUGGUGGCGACCGGCGCACGGGUGAGUAACGCGUACGCAAUCUACCCUUAACAGGAGGAUACCCAGAGGAAACUCUGACUAAUACUCCAUUAACAUUGCAGAUUCGCAUGAAUCAGCAAUUAAAACUCCGGUGGUUAAGGAUGAGCGUGCGUCUGAUUAGCUAGUUGGUGAGGUAACGGCUCACCAAGGCUACGAUCAGUAGCUGGUCUGAGAGGAUGAUCAGCCACACUGGGACUGAGACACGGCCCAGACUCCUACGGGAGGCAGCAGUAGGGAAUAUUGGACAAUGGGCGAAAGCCUGAUCCAGCCAUCCCGCGUGCAGGAUUAAGGCCCUAUGGGUUGUAAACUGCUUUUAUCAGGGAAGAAACCGAGAGAUUCAUCUCACGUUGACGGUACCUGAUGAAUAAGCACCGGCUAACUCCGUG